Molecule: ribosomal RNA, 505 nt
Filed under: uncultured bacterium
Lineage: Bacteria
Description: partial 16S ribosomal RNA
Rfam family: Bacterial small subunit ribosomal RNA
Source: RNAcentral
GACGAACGCUGGCGGCGUGCCUAAUACAUGCAAGUAGAACGCACAGUUUAUACCGUAGCUUGCUACACCAUAGACUGUGAGUUGCGAACGGGUGAGUAACGCGUAGGUAACCUGCCUGGUAGCGGGGGAUAACUAUUGGAAACGAUAGCUAAUACCGCAUAAUAUUAAUUAUUGCAUGAUAAUUAAUUGAAAGGUGCAAUUGCACCACUACCAGAUGGACCUGCGUUGUAUUAGCUAGUAGGUGAGGUAACGGCUCACCUAGGCGACGAUACACAGCCGACCUGAGAGGGUGAUUGGCCACACUGGGACUGAGACACGGCCCAGACUCCUACGGGAGGCAGCAGUAGGGAAUCUUCGGCAAUGGACGAAAGUCUGACCGAGCAACGCCGCGUGAGUGAAGAAGGUUUUCGGAUCGUAAAGCUCUGUUGUAAGAGAAGAACGGGUGUGAGAGUGGAAAGUUCACACUGUGACGGUAUCUUACCAGAAAGGGACGGCUAACUACGUG